GCGGAUGUUGUGGAUCGACAAGUGCCAAAGUCGCUUCGAUCAUCCUGAUCAUUAUUGGAAUAAUAUUCAUCAUUGCGGCAAUAGUUUUUGUGCCACUGGUUGGUGGUCCGGCAAAUAUCGGAAGAGCGAUGUUGAUAACAGAGGGCGUGCUCGUUCUCAUCUUUGCCUACAAUGCAGAAAAUAGAUGUUGGAUGAUAACAGUCAACGUUGUUUCUAUUAUUAUGGUGGUUAUCUCGGUUGUAUGGCUAAUUGGAAGCCUAUUUUUUGCUGGAAUAUUAAUCGCCCUCAAAGUGGGUUGUAGUAAUUGCGGUAAAGAUGACUACCUCUGCAACGAAAGUGUGGUAUUUAUUUUGAGUAUGUUAUCCCCAGCGCAGUAUUUAUGGUUCUAUUCUCAGCCAUUACUCUUGUGACGUCCAUCGUGCUGGUUGUUUCAUCCUGCACCUGCUGCAGAUCAAACAUGGAUUCUGCUCCAUUAUAAUGCUAGUGUUGGAUCGUUGCUUAUUCUGCUGAGCCAAAUGUUACAAUGCAUGUACUGUAUGCCUAAACAUCAACGGGGACGUACAUUAUUGCACCUAAUUUGUAUUAAUUCUUAUUCAAUACGUAUUUUAUGAAUUAUAAGAAUUAUCAAUCAACCAAGUCUCUUUUCUUUUGUAAAAAUGUUGAAUUUAAAUGUGUGAGUUGAAAUUCCCAUCAUUAGGAUACAUUAAUGUAAAAAAAGUAAACGUAGAAGGUAGGCCUACAAUAUCGAAUACAGUAAGGCUCAUUGGUUAAUGUAGGCCUAUCGGUAGUUUUUUAUAUGCAAUAUUUCAAUUUUCUAACAUUACUUCAUAUAUGCUUUUGUAAAAUAUUUAAUAAAAAUGUAAUUUA
Long non-coding RNA from Anneissia japonica, 867 nucleotides. RefSeq lists it as uncharacterized. The transcript is spliced from 5 exons. The record is from RefSeq and is a predicted model, not a curated record. Lineage: Eukaryota; Metazoa; Echinodermata; Crinoidea; Comatulida; Comatulidae.